GAUGAAGCAGUGAGUGAAACUAUAAUACUGGAAUCACAUGUUCAAUGUUAUGCCUCUGUACCAAACAAAAAAAAAUGUUAAAUAAUCCAACUUCAGUGAUACUAUGUUUUAUUACUUCAAUAUCAAAUCCCUAUUAAUUAGGAGAAAGAAAUUGUUUUCUUGAAUUUGUUUAGACAUAGAAGUACAAUAAUCAAUUUGCUUAAAACACUUAAAUCAACAACAUAAGGGCAACAUUCAUAUAAAAAAAAAGGAAGUUAGACAAGGAAUUGAAACAACAAGGAAAGAAAGGGAUUGUACCUUAAGGAUCAAAGCUUUUUAUUAAUUUAAAAGUAAACUCCAGCCACAUACACGAUAGUUAAGAUGAAUCAGCAACUAAACUCAACCAAACGACCACGGCCGCAUUAGAGAAAACUCGAACAGAACCUCUCGGAAUUGCAAACAGGCAGCUCGACUCGACUCGCACCUGCCAUGUCGUUUUGGACGAUUUCGAGGCUAUUUUUGGGUGGUUUUUGGGUCGUUCUUGGGGUCUGUCUCGCAGCUAGCUUUGCUGCUAUUUUUUUGGGGUAUUUUGGAGCUGUGUUUCGAUUGGAUUUUCAAGGUGUUUGUGGCGCUACUUUGAGCGACUGUUUUGGUGGUUUAAAAUGACGCUACAUAGAUGAAGACAGAGGGAUGAAAGUAGUGUUCUUUGGGUAGUGAGAGUGGCGGCAACUGGAGGCUUAGAGGUUCUCCUAAAAUUCAAAGAAAGACCACCUCCAUCUGUCCAUUCUUCCAUCCUUAUCUCUGUGUGUGUUUGAUUUUUGAAAAAAAGGGGCCU
Molecule: long non-coding RNA, 814 nt
Filed under: Nicotiana tabacum (common tobacco)
Lineage: Eukaryota; Viridiplantae; Streptophyta; Magnoliopsida; Solanales; Solanaceae
Description: long non-coding RNA (NTAB_LNC007548)
Source: RNAcentral